CAUAAUACAUAAAAUGGACAAUUAAAGCUCUGCUCAUAAUAACAUUAAUAUAGUUACCUCCUUCAAAACACAAAUAGAAAUGAUUGCUCGUGCCAACUUACAAUUUGAAUGGAUGAAAAAGACCCUACAAAAAUCUCAUAUGUUAUUUUUUCACAGAUCUCUAAAAUCAUUUUUUACUAAUCUCCUUGUCUAACAAGGACAAACUCGGGAUCUGGAAAAGGUAGUCUAUAUGCUGACCUUACCCCUACCUAAUGCAGGUAGAGAGGUUGUUUCCAAUAGACACUAAUCUCCUUGUGUAAAAGAUCAUAUUAGGAAAUGCAGUCCAAUAAAGACGUCGUUCUUACAAAUCAGAGCCAUAUCGUGAGAAUAAUUCUGGCUAGCUUGCAACAUUUGAAACUCAACCAAUCAAGAAGGAUAAUAAAAUUAAAAUCAACUGAUAGCAAAGAUGUAAACAAACUAAAAUAUCCUGAUAUGCCAAAUAACAGCAACUCUUCAAAACCUUUGAACUCUAGGAGUAUUAAAUGUUGGUCUACAAAAUGCAUAAAAAACAUAAACUCGCCAAGGGAAAAACUGAUCCAAAGUGGAUAUCAACUUACUGAAUGUUUGAGGAUUUGUUAGGGAUAACACCUUCAUAUUUGACUUGGAACCACUUCAUAGCGUCAUCCUUGAAAACAUAAACUUGCUGGGGGACAAACUGAUCCACAAUCAACUUACUGAAUGUUUGAGGAUUUGUUAAGGAUAACACCUUCAUAUUUGACUUGGAACCACUUCAUAGCGUCAUCCUUUGUGACCCUGUGCUGAAUUCCAACUCGGGCCUUGCACCUCCUACGACGAGCAACACGGUAUCCUGGGCGCUCGAGCACAACAUAGAAAUCCAUACCAUAGAUACCGGUUGAAGGGUCAUACCUAUAGAACAGAAAUUAGUUAAGGCACAACAAUUUGACAGACAUAAAUACAGAGCAGUAGAUGGGAGGCAAUCCUAUGCUGAUAGUCACCUCUAUAUUAUAAAACUGAAAACUAAGCAUGUUGAAUGUGAAAAUAAUCGAAAUAGCAUGAUAUAGCUAGAUAACAUAUGCUUACUUGAUUCCAAGAUCAAUGUGCUCCUGAAUGCCAAAACCAAAGCAGCCAGUCUCACUGAAGUUUCUUCUCAACAACUCGUAUUCCUUGACUUUCAAUCCACUCUCAAGGAGCUGCAUAGCUUUGUCUCCUCUGACAGUGACAUAGCAAGCAAUCUUCUCAUUACGGCAAAUUCCGAAGGACCGCACAGUAUACCUAGCUGUCAAAGAGAGCAAUACAACCAUCAGAGGGAACUAAACAUCGUCAACAAAAAAUGAGGGAUGAAUAAUUGAUCACUUAAAGUCAAUAAAGAAUUUAUUAAUCUCAUUACAAAUGUUUCAAUGUAUAAACACCAAUUGUAAUGUGUGAACGAGCAGAUAUCAAUUUCUUUAUCAUUGCAUAUUCAGAGUUAAAUGAAUUCUUGCAUAUCUAGCUCAACAAAAACAUAACUAAAGUAGUAUACAACCAUUUCUUAUCGGUUGGUUCUCACUUAAGAGAUUCAAACACUGCUGCUGCUGGUUUCACCCCACUACCACCAACAACAACUACUACUACUACCCAAUCUCAAACUAGUUGAGGAGGGUUACAUGCAUAUAUGAUCCUGCUUUCAGGAUGCAUAUAGGAUACAAUAAAAAAUAGGUUACUCCAUGUGGCCUAACAUUUAAUAUAUCAAUCAGCUACACUUCAAUUCUCAUCAGUUAGGGUUGACUAAAAUAAUCCUAUUUAUUUCAGCUCUAGCCAGGUCCCACUUCAUUCCAAUACAAUAUAAUACAUGAAAAUUAGAGAUUCCACAUUUAAACAGUACCGAUUAGAAAUUAAUUACACAUUUCAACAAAAUUGUCAUGUCAGUGUUAAUCAAUUAAUUCAUCAACUGAGCACAUCAAAGAUUAACUCAUACAUUUGACAGACACAGAAUUAGAGAAGAACAACUGACUGCAUUUGGACAAAGGUAGCUAAAUAUCCGAAAAUAGAGAAAAAAGAAAAAGUGGAAUAAAUUGAGGUUCAAAAACUAACCCUUAGAGAAAACAGGGGAUUGGCCGCUGAGUUGCUCCAAGACCUAUAGGAAAAAGACUGAUGGUUUCAGUUUCACAAUACAACAAUGAAAUCAAGUUCUACACACAGUAUUAAACGCUAUCAGGAAGGAAAAUGAAUGACCUUGGCUGCUCUGGUGAGCCUAUCUCCGCUUUCACCAACAGAGAUGUUAAGGACUAACUUCUGAACCUUGAUUUCCCUCAUUGGGUUGCUCAACUUCUUCUCUGAAGCCUGCUCAUCGGAUCAACGUAUUCACACAAGUCACUUAGAUUUUCAAAAAUUCAAUUCAAAAACACAAAUUAAUGGGUGCAUAUUAGUCCUUUUCUUAAUAACCGAGAAAUCCCCUCGAGACAACGGGCCCACUGCUCUACGCUUCUCCACUUAAAUAUCGGGCAUUUUGUUUUACUCACACAUAACGAACUGCGCUCUUACUGCUAGACCAAAGCCCUAGAGAGGGUGCAUUUUAGUCAUUUAAAUUUGCAGAAAAUUGCUUCUUACUUCUUAAACACAAAAAAUUAGAAGAUCCGCUUUUAAUUCUACAACUUAUAUCGAACUACUCAUUGAUUAACAACAGAUUAAUAACUUGUAAAAAUGAUUAUGAACAAAGAUAAAAAAGUUGUAGUUUAAUAUGAAAAUUACAAGCAUUAUAAUCCACUACUAUAUUUUGUGGGAAAAAUAUUGAGAAAAUACAUGGAAACGUACCAUUUCGAUUCGGUCUGAGGAGCGUGGCCGCAAAAGGAGAUGGAGAGAAGCAAAGCGACGGAGGAGGAGGGUUUUGCCAAGAAUUUAAAGCAGAUAGCGAAAUUCAGAUUUGGGCUCAUUUGUUUGGUUUAGUUCUAUUUAGCCCGUUAAAUUUGGGCUUGGGCCAAGGAUCUUUUUGAAUUGGGCUCAUCUUGCCUAUAUUAAACAAAUAACUGACUAGAUUUAUGUUUCACUUUUUUUAAUCGGUAUAUAUAGAUUAUAUAUUAAUUAUAUAUAUAUUUAUAUAUUUGACAGCUAUUUUAAUUUAAAAUUUUAAAUGAGAGGCUAUUUGGAUUUAUGGCAGAAGUUACUACUGAAAUGUUGGUUUUUCGACAAAUGUUAAUACUCGCUCCCUCUCAUUUUAUGUGAUUAUGAUCGACAGAACAUAGAAUGUAAAAAAAUAAAAAAAAUAUUUUAACAUGUAAGCUAAAUAUAUGCAUUAUACUAAAAUUAUCCUUAUGAUUCGUGGUGAAAGUUUCAUGUCUUUUCAUAUAGAUGAGUAGUGGUGAGGGUCCAAGACCCCAAAAAAAGUUAUUCGGAGUACAAAAUAUUUUGUGUUCACAAAGAAUUCGGAGAAUGGUCGGACUCUAAGAGGUGUGAUAUAUAUAAUCUAAUGUAUGGCUAUCCAAGGAGAAGGCACGGGAAAGGACGAUGCGACAUUUAGGCGGGACGGGACGAAACGGUCGGCUCAUCCCGUCCCGCUAACAAAUGGGACGGGACGGUUUCGCAGGUCUUAAGAGCAGUUUUAAAAAACGUUUAGUUUUUUAACAAUGACUAAAUUUUUAAAGUUUGCAACGGCUAGUUUUCGACUUAUUUAAUAAACUUAAAUGUUAAAACGAAAAUUAGAAAACUAAGUAAAGAAUUAUAAAAUAUUAAAACAAAAGACUUGUAAUGAGAUAUUCUAGUAAUUAUAAUAGAGUUAUAAUUUAUUUAAUAUAAUUUUAAAGUAUCAAGUAACUAAUACAAUUCAUAAAAAAAAUCAACACUUAGAGCCUUUUAUUUUAUUAAUAGAACUUUCAAAUUUCACGCACAAAUAUAAUUUUUAAGAGCACCUAAUCUAUGCAGCUACCUUUUAGGAGGGGUUCUGUUUGAACUAGGCCUCUUAGUAGCCAAUUAUAAAUUAUCAUACUAAUAUUUGUUAGCUCAUAUAUAGCUUAUUUAUAACUUAUCAAUAAUUUAUCUCGGACAUUGUUCUGGAAUUGGCAAUGUUGAUUGAUGUUCCAUGACGUUAUCACUCCCAGUGCUAAGUAUCUCAUUGUAUUCUUCUUCUUCCUUAGUGGUAAAUUUUUAAAAUCAAGAUUUCUUCUUUCUGAAUUAAUCCAAUCUCUAAAUAAUACCGAAAUCUCUAGAUUGUCCUCUGUUAAUGAAAGCCUAUGAUCUCAAAUUUAAAAUCUUGUUGCACUAAAAGCACUCUCCGAUGUUGCUAUUGAUGUCUGAAUAGCCAGGACUAAAUUAAACACACAAAUAAAAUACGAAAAUAGAACACGUAAAAUAAACACAAAAAUUAAGCACUAAAAUGAUACAGAAUAUUAUAUACUAAAAUUAGGAGAUGGAAUGAGUUCACUAUGAUUAAAUAUUGAAACUUGAAGAAAUUGCCCAAAAUAUUGCUCCAAAUACUUGACGCAUUAAUAUGAAGCUUGAAAGUUGCUCCAAAAAUUUUUACUUCAUAGUGAAAAAAUUGAGAGAAUAAUAUAGAUAGAAUGUAAGAGAUUUGAGAGAGGAUAAUUGAUUUUUAAAAAUGAAGAAGGAUCUGGGGUAUUUAUAGUAGAAAAUAGGGCCAAAGUAUAAUUUAAUAAACUUAAGUGUUAUAUUAAAAGUUUGGGAGGUAGGGGGAGGAUAGAGGCCAUUUAUGAUCGUUUUUUGUCGUUGGAAAUGACUAUUUUUGCAAUUGAAGUCAUUGUCCAACGGCUAAAAUUCAAAAAAAAAUUGCAGGAAGGGGCGGGACAAAAUAAUCAUCUCAUCGUGUGUCCCGUUUAAUAUUGCUCAUCCCUUUUAAAAUGAAGUAGGCGGGGACGGAAUGGGACAGCUCAUCCCGUUGGACAGGCAUAACCUAAUGCAAUCAUUAAUGUGAUGAUGGUCCGUCAACUCAUGUAAUUAAAUAAAAAAACGAGAUGUCGUAGAAUUAAAUAGUUUCACACAGAAUAAAAGUGAUUUUUUUUUGGGGGGGGGCUAAAAAAGAGUAUGCUACAUAAAUUCAAAAAAGAAAAUAAUAGACUAAGACCCGUUUGAAUAAGAUGAUUGUAAAUAAGCUUGAAGUGCUAAAAAGUAUUUUUAAAGUGUUGAAAUUAAUUUUUAAUUAAGCAUUUACAUGUUUGGAAAAUUGAUAGAAAGCAGUUGAUGUGUUUGAUAAAAAAAUAUUAAUAAGCUAUUCUUUUGUUAAAAAUAUUAAUAUAUCAUUAAAAAUUUACAAAAGAUUAUAAAUUAAAAAGGUUCUUUAUAAAGAAAAGCAUGCACAUCAAAUAUGGAAUGUGGAAAAAGCUUGGAAAUUUUAAUUUGGAAAAGUAUUUUCUGAAUUAGAAAAUGUUAUUAAUGUUAAACUAGUAAAAACUUUGGCCAAACUAAAAAUACUUAUAAGCUGAAAAGUCAUAAGUUGAGGGGUGACUAACGUAUUGCUCAUGACUAAUUUAAGCUUAUAAGCACGUUAGAUGUUUAUCGAAUAUGUGAAUAAGUCAAAAAGUGCUUAUAAGUCAGUUUGACCAACUUAUAAGUUUAGCUAAAUGCCUUUUAAGUCAUCGAUGCAUUUUGCUUAAUUAGAACGUCGUGGAAAUGAUGUUUUGAAUUCAAGCUUUUUUUCUUUUUCUUUUCAUGAAAAAUUUAGUUUAUUCACCGAUUUGUAUGUGUCAUACUUGCGCAAAAAUCCAUGGUAAUCUUUUCUCUAAUGUUUAAAUCUUUUCAGAUAUAGUCGAAGGGACUAUUCGUUAUACUAGUUGAAUGGAUACUUUAUUGAGUGCGUGUUACAUAGCAAUUGUGUAGUGAUGGCAUUAUAGUCUUUUACUUGGAGGUCGUUAGUUGGUUAGGAGGGCCAACGGAGUUAGUUAAAGAACUAGUACAAGUAUUUGUUCUAAUUCAUUAUGGAAGAUUACAAUCAAUAAUAUCAAUUCCAACUCUUCUACUCUCUAGCUUAAUUAAUUCAUGCAACUCCAUUCAGGAAUGGUUCUCCAUACCAAUUCCUUAGGUCUGUAUACUAGAUUUCUUCAGUGAGCUCGCUUCAUUGGAAUCAAAGUGGCGAUUUUAGGCGGAACGAUGCUAGAAUCAACAGCGGCGAACACCAAAAAUUGUGAAUUGAGAUGAGAAAUGGAGGAAUUGAGAGAACAAGUUCGGAUGCAGGGCAAUCAACAUGAAUAUGCCUUGAGUGACAUUUAACAAAUGGUAGCAGCUAUGAUGGCUAGUAACAGAGCUCUGGCGACGGUAGAAAAUGAGGGUUUUCACGCUUCGGGUAAUAAUUUUCCCCCCUAAUGGGCGUUUCCAGAGACUCGAUUUCCCUAUGUUCAAUGGGGAAGCCAUUAAUGGGUGGUUGUACAAAGCGGAGCAAUUCUUUAAUUACGAGAAGAUUUCUGAGGAUAAUAAGGUUCAAACAGAAUGCAUUAACAUGGAAGGGAAAGCCUUACGAUGGCACAAAAUAUGUAUAAAAGCUAGAACGGGAAGAUUUUCAAAUUGGGAUGAUUAUGUGAGAGUUGUUCAUCUUAGAUUUGGAGAUGUGGAACAUGCAAAUUCCAUGGCAGAACUAGUUGCCUUUAAAUAGAGGGGAACUGUUCAAAAAUACCUUGAUAAGUUUGAUGAGCUAUUGAAUCUGGUGGAGUUGACAGAAGAACAUUAUGUUAGCAUUUUCUUGGCCAAUUUGAAACCUGAGAUAGAGGUGCAAGUACAUAUGCUGAGUCCAAGAAUACUUAUGAAGGCUUAUAGUCAAGCUAGACUAGUUGAGAAAUCUCUAAAAACACAAUAUGGACAAACUCAAGCCUUGGUGAGGAGUUUAAGAUUUUUACUCCCAAAUCCUACUAAUUUUUGGGGUACCUUUUCUAAAGGUCCAAGUAUGGGAUAAAAUUGUGGAAACAAUAGAAUAGUUAGACAUAAUAGUCCUAACAAAGCAGGCAACAAACCUACAAUUCAAGGAUCUAGGAGGUUGUUAGCAGCAGAGAUGAAUGUAAAAAGGGCUCAGGAUAUUUGUCAUUGGUGUGAUGAAAAAUACAUUCCGAACCAUCUAUGCAAUCAAAUGAAAUAAUUAUUUAUCUUGGAUAUGGAUGAAAAUGUAGAAGAAGGCAUAUGGGAAGAAGAGAUAGGUGAAGAGCAGAACUCUGAAGAAUUAAAUUCUCAAGUAUCUAUUCAUACAAUAAAUGGUACAAGUGAUUAUUCAAUAAUGAGAGUAAAAGGGGAUGUCAAAGGAAGAGUGGUACAUGUCUUAAUUGAUUCAGGAGUGACCCACAAUUUUAUGAAUUUAAUAGUAGCCAAGAGGUUAGGGUGUAAAUUGAUGAGCAUUCCCUCAUUUAUGGUAUAAGUAGCUGAUGGUAAUAAGGUUCAUAGUUCAAUGAUGACCCAAGGAGAAACUUGGAAAAUGCAGGGGAUAAAUUUCAAGUCUGACAUGUUGGUUAUUCCGUUAGGAGGGGUUGAUAUGGUGUUGGGGAUAAAAUGGCUUAUUACUCUGGGAGAUAUAAGGUGGAACUUCAAACUACUAAAAAUGGAGUUCCAAAUGGUUAGAACUUCAAACUUCAUAUAGCUGAUCCGAUAGUGUAAAAUCUUCUAUAUUAUUAGUGACAGAUCUAUGUUGUAAGUUAUAAAUACUCAAGCACCUAUUACUUUUGGUGCCAAACACUGUUACUUAUAACGAAAAACUGAUAAUUUAUCCAAAUAUAUUAACUAAGCACUCGGGUUUCGCAGUAACUUUUUAGAUUAAAACUAGUUGAGCACUCAUGAUUUAAAAAUUUUGGAUUUAACAUUUUAUAUUAUCGAUGUAUAGAAGUUAAAUUCAUACAAAUAUUGAAUUAUACAAACUUUAUCCUAUUUCCUUUUUUGCAACUUUUUCUCUUCUUAUUUUUUUUUUAAGUUGUGCCAUAGAGGGGUAGGGGUAGGAAGCAAGAAAAAGAAGGUGCAAAAAGGGUAAAGGAAGUGGGAAGAGGAGAAGACAAGAAAGUGAAAGAGGGAACCGUUUGGAAUUUAAGUGUGGGAUGUGAGUUGAAGUUAGUGAUGGUAGUAUUGAUGAUGAUAAUAUGUGCAAUUUUUUCUUUUUCUCUUUUUGUGAUAUUUAUCUUUAUUCACUAUUUUAUAGGACCAAAUCAAGUACUCAAUAAUAGUUAACUAUGCUUUCAUUUGUGACUUAUUGGCUCUAACUCUUUCUCUAUAUUAAAAGUUUUAAUACUAAAUAAGCAUGAAUAAUUAAUUUUGAAUUCAAUUCCUAGUCAACAAAGAUGGUUGGCGAAAUUUACGGGCAAUGAUUAUUCCAUCUUGUACAAAAAAAGGAAAGGAAAAUAUUGCGGCUGAUGCAUUGUCCAGAUGUCCUGUACCUGGAUCUUAUGUCCAACUGCAGACCAUCACUACAUCACUUCAGACUUUCUUCAAAAGGUUCAACUCAUAUACAUGAGACUCACAAUUGCAAAAAUUUGUAGAUCAACUGCAAGUAGACGUUUUUUCCAAUCCACUUAACAUGUUGCAUGCUGGUAUCCUUCACAGAAGAGAGAAGAUAAUGGUUGGCCAUGAUUCAAAUCUUAGGAAGGAUAUUCUACAUAUGUUUCAUGAUUCAGCUAUGGGUGGACAUUCUGGGAUGGUUGCUACCAUUUUCAAGGUCAGUCAGGUGUAUUAUUGGACCAAGCUGAAACAAGAUGUACACAACUACAUUAGGGAUUGUGAAGUCUAUCAAAAAUGUAAGGGAGAGAAUGUCAGCUACCCUAGGCUUCUACAACCUCUCCGUGGCAGGAUAUUAGCUUAGACUUCAUUAAAGGACUACCCAGUCUCAUAACAAGCGUGUUAUAUUGGUGGUGGUGGAUCGAUUGAGCAAAUAUGAUCACUUCAUUGGGUUGACAUACCCAUACACUACAUUCACGAUUGCUCAAGCAUUCUUGGACAAUGUUUAUAAACUUCAUGGAUUACCUCAAACAUUAGUAAGUGAUAGAGGUACCAUCUAUCUCAGUAAGUUCUGGCAAGCACUAUUUGAAGUUCAAGGAGUUCAAUUACAUCACUCUACUGCUUAUCACCCUCAGUUCGAUGGACAAAUAGAGAUUGUGAAUAAAUGUUUGGAAGGUUAUCUAAGGUGCAUGUGCAAUGAUAGACCUAAAGAAUGGGCACACUGGCUACCUCUUGCUGAAUGGUGGUACAAUACAAUCUACAACACUGCCAUCAAAAUGACCCCUUGUGAAGUGUUGUAUGGUCAAACUUCACCAACUCACCUUCCUUAUGUAGCUCACAGUUCAAUGGUGGAUCAGGUGGACAGGAUUUUGGAAGCUAGAAAGGCUACUGUACGAUUGUUAAAACAUCAUCUACACCUGGCUCAAUGUCAAAUGAAGGCACAGGCAGACAAGAAACGAACUUCCAGAAGCUUUGAUGUUGGUGAAUAGGUUUUUGUAAAGCUCCAUCCCUACAGGCAGAUCUCUUUAAAAGGACACUCUUACCAUAAACUUAGCCCCAAGUCUUUUGGCCCAUUCAGAAUUUUGAAUAAAGUAGGAACAACUGCUUACCUGUUGGAUCUUCCCCUUCAAGUUAAACUCCAUCACACUUUCCAUGUGUCACAACCGAAGAAACAUGUCGGCAUUGUUGUUCUAUCCCCAACCUACAUGUUUCCCUUUCCCCCCAUGGUCAUAUUAUUUUGGAGCCUGAAGUUUUGUUAGAAAAUAGGGUAGUCACGAAGCAACGCAAUUCAAUCCCUCAAGUCUUGGUAUGAUGGUUUAACUGUCCUGUAGAAGACAGCACAUGGAUGGACACUCAUUCCUUGCAUCCGCAAUUUCCAUCCUUCUGUCUUUGGGACUAUACUGGGUAGUUGUUGUUGUUGUUGUGUCUUUGAGGACAAGGACAUUCUCUAAGAAGGGGAACGUGUUACAUAGGGCAUUAUAGUCUUUAGUAAUUUUAUAGUGCGGCCAUUAUAGUCUUUUACUUGGAGGUCGUUAGUCAGUUAGGAGGGCCAGCAGAGUUAGUUAGAAAACCAAUACAAAUAUUUGUUAGCUGGGUAGUUUUAGGCAUUCUAAUUCAUUGUGUAAGAUUACCAUCAAUAAUAUCAAUUCCAACUCGUCUACUUUCUAGAUUAAUCAAUUCACGCAACGCUGUUCAGGAAUUGUUCCCCAUCCCAAUUCCUUAGGAUUGCGUACUUGAGUUCUUCAGUGAGCUCGCUUCAGUGCACUCACUUGUCAUCAUAGAAAGAAAUAUUGAGAGCAACUUUAUAUUAGGAAAGAGUCAAAUAAUCCUAGCCGUCAAGGUUUGCACAAAGAAUAGAGAUUUGGUUCUUGGAGAUAGAAGGAGAGCCAUAAUAAAUAUCACAGGUGUUUAUAUCGAAACAACAACAAAUGAUCCUAUAAAGCGGGGUCUUUAGAGAGUGAAGUGUACACAGACCUCAACCUUACCUUGGAAAGGUAGAGAGGUUAUUUUUGAUAGACCCCGAUUCAAGGAAAAAUGAAAAGAAGCAAAAGCAACCAUUUGUAAUAAUAUUACUAUAGCAAGAAAUAAGGUGAUACAAUAAAGUUGUCUCCGUGUGACCUAGGAUUCGAGCAGUGAAAUUAGCCACUGAUACUUGCAUUCAGGCAGGUUGCAUAUAUCACACCCCUUAGGGUACGCCCUUUCUUCGACCAUGCGUGAAUAUCAUAUGCUUCGUGUAUCAGACUAUCCUUCUUUAUUAUAUGAUAGAAUAAUCCAUUGAGCAAUCAUUUGAACUCCCUAGAAAAGAAAGUUUAUAAAACAGAAGACAUGCUUAUUUCAAUAACUGAAAAAUAAAAUUUUAAGGCGCCAGAGAUGAGUUUUGGAUUGGGUGGUUAAAGAAGGGAGAGGUAAAGAUCAUUACAUUAAAGCGCAGAGAUUAAAUAACUUGGAAACAUACCUUUAUAAUGGGGGGACAAUAUGAAAUCUAAACAAAUUACAGUAAAGUACCAAGUUAAAAUUGGAUCCAUCAAGAUAGUAUCAAGUUAAAAGUUGUUUUAUUCAAAUAUUAUAAUUGAAGAUACAUCCUUCCUAUGUUACAUUUACUCUUAAAAAAUAUGGUUGGAUGUUUGUCGGAUUCUCUAAAUUUAGUGUAUUUUUUAAGGAUCUAACAUUAGGUGAGGCAACACUUUUGGAGAGUCCGAGCAACAUAGCUUCCUUUCAUACUUCCUUCCAUGGCGGUCUGUUGUAAUUGAUAAUGGCUAUAUUGAAAAUGUCACGACCCGGAAUUCCCACCUUCGGGAGUCGUAAUGGCUCCUACUCGUGGAAACUAGGCAAGCCAUGAAUCUUUGAAAUCAUUAACCCUUUCGGUUUAAUACUCUUUGCCAAUUAUGUUAACAAGAAAACAAACAGAUAAAUAACAGCGGAAUGUAAUAUUUAGCGGAAUUCUCGGAUAAACAGAAAACCAAAAUGUCUAGAAAAUCAAUACAAGUCUCUACCCAGAACCUGGAGUCACAACUUUCACAGACUACUAUGAAUACUACAUACAUCAGUUUGAAGGAAAAGUGAAGCUAUUUGUCUCGAAUGCAUGAGAUAACAAGAUAUAAAAUAAGAUAGAGGAGACACCGGGCCUAUGAACGUCUACAAGACUACCUCGGUAUCUCGGUGGACUGAAGGUUGGCUCACGAACUAGUGCUGCACGGCAAAUGCUGCUCUGGUAUCUGUACAGGGUGAAGAGUGUAGUAUCAGCACAACCGACCCCAUGUGCUUGUAAGUGUCUGGCCUAACGCGGCGAGGUAGUGACGGGGCUAGAACCAGACUCCAGAUAAACAUGUGCAGUACAAUAUCUACAUCAACGUAAUAAUACUACUGUUGCGACGCGCAACCCAAUCCAUAUAAAGGUAUAUAGUUGUUGCGGCGUGCAACCCGAUCCAAUUUAAUAAUUGUUGCGGCAUGCAGCCCGAUCUAAUGUAAUAGUUGUUGCGUUGUGCAACCCAAUGCAAUAUAAUAAUUGUUGCAUUGUGCAACCCGAUCGAAUAUAAUAUCUAUAGCGGCGUGCAACCCAAUACAAUACAAUAUCUAUUGUGGCGUGCAACCCGAUCCUAUAUAUAUAUAUAUAUAUAUGUGUGUUGCGACGCGGAAUCCAUUCCAAAUAUACAGCUCACAGUAAUCAUAACAAUAGUUCCGGCAAGGGAUUAACGAUAAGUUACACUAUUCCAGCAAGGGAACUCAACAGUACAAGAAUAUACGUCCCGCCAAGAGAGAAUCAGCUAUAAUCAAUCUCAACUUAACUUCUAACCAUCUCUAUUAUCACAAUUUCUAACUCAUAAGUAACUUCCACGAAAAUAAACUAAGCUUUUGCCCAAUAUCACGGAUUUACUCACUAUUGCAACCAUAGUAUCAUUCAAGAAAAAGCAGCAAGUAUCAAUUUAAGACCCACGGUCAUGCUCGACAACAACGUAUAGAUACUCGUCACCAUGACAAUACGUCGUACUCAAUAAGAAACAAGUAGCAAAUAUGAAUCAACUCCUAAUCCCUCAAGCUAAGGUUAGACCGAACACUUACCUCAAACUUCCACGACCAACNNNNNNNNNNNNNNNNNNNNNNNNNNNNNNNNNNNNNNNNNNNNNNNNNNNNNNNNNNNNNNNNNNNNNNNNNNNNNNNNNNNNNNNNNNNNNNNNNNNNNNNNNNNNNNNNNNNNNNNNNNNNNNNNNNNNNNNNNNNNNNNNNNNNNNNNNNNNNNNNNNNNNNNNNNNNNNNNNNNNNNNNNNNNNNNNNNNNNNNNNNNNNNNNNNNNNNNNNNNNNNNNNNNNNNNNNNNNNNNNNNNNNNNNNNNNNNNNNNNNNNNNNNNNNNNNNNNNNNNNNNNNNNNNNNNNNNNNNNNNNNNNNNNNNNNNNNNNNNNNNNNNNNNNNNNNNNNNNNNNNNNNNNNNNNNNNNNNNNNNNNNNUCCAAAUCAAUUGUAUCUAUACAUAAAUGACUUCAUAACAUCAAUAAAUGCUAAACAAUUCGAAUUCAAUGCCUAAUUAUAGCUUUCCAAUCAUUCUUCCAAAAAACUCAAAAAUCGACCCUGGGCGCCCUUGGUCAAAACACGAGGUUCGCACCAAAAUCAAAUCACCUACGAGCCCACGAGCCCAAAUAUAUAAUUAUUUUCAGAAUUCAAUCCCAAAACGAAGUCUAAAUCACAAUUAAUCAAAAAGCCCUAGUUCUAUCCAAACCCCUAAUUUUUUACCUUUAGUUCCAUGUUUUAAGACCUAGAAAUCUAAUGGGUGUUAAUAGAAAAUGAAGAAAAGAAGUCUAAGAUUACAUAUCUAAGAAAUUGUGGUGAAAUCGUCUUUCAAAAAUCACCCAAUUUGGAGUUGAGAAGAAGAAGUUAUGAAAUUUGAACAAUUCUCGUUUAAGCUACUGUUUUAAAUUCGCUGGGCAGACCUUCAUCAUGUUUGCGAUGGGUCUCCCGCAUUUGCCAAGAGUUGCCUUACAUAGGCUUAUAUGAUCGGGAUUUCUCGUAUGCGUUCGCGAAGGGUUGCCCCAUGACCUUCGCGUUCACGGGCCUAUGAACGCAUUCCAUAGAGGAAAAUAUUCAAUUCCAUACCAACCCCCCUUUACACUAUGCGUUCGCGAAACGUGGGCCGCGUUCACGUAGAGUAACCCCCCCCCAGAGUGCUCCGCGUUCGCGAUCCUUCCCUCGCGUUCGUAUUGAACAAAAAUACCCAUGUCCCCAUUUACCUUACGCGAUCGUGAAGAGCAACAUGUCUGAGCACCUGUUGCAGAUUUUCUGCAAUUUCUCCUAAGUUCAAACUUCCCGAAACACUCUCGAGCCCUCAGGGCUCCCAACCAAACACACGUACUAACUCAACAACAUCAUACGAACUUAUCCUUGCGAUCAAGUCGUCAAAAUAACCUCAAAAAUAAUGAAUCAAACCUCAAAAUCAAGUGUUUUUUUCAAACUUCAUCAAGUUUUAAAUUUUGGAAUUCAAGUCUGAAUCAUGCCAAAAUGAUGGUUGAUUUUAACCAGAUUUUACAAAAAGGACUUAAACCAUACAUUAGACUUGUACCAGGCGCCGGAACUAAAAUAUGGGCACAAUACUAUCUCUUUCUAAUCGGAUUUCAUUUCAAAUUUCCUUAAACAUUUUAGAAAACAAUUUAACUCAAAAAUUUAUUUCUCGGGUUGGGACCUCAGAAUUUUAUUUCGGGCGUACGCCCAAGUUCCAUAUAUUCCUACGGACCCUCCGGGAUUGUCAAAUCAUGGGUCUGGGUCAAUUUACCUAAAAUGUUGACUGAAGUUAAAUUUAUUCAUUUUAAAAUCAAAACAUAACAUUUUUCACAUAGUUUUAUAUUUAAGCUUUUUGGCUAUGCAUCCGGGCUGUGCACGUAAAUUGAGACGACUCUAAAUAAGGUUUUUAAGGCAUCGGAGUCAGAGUUUAAUUUAAAACAAAUGAUGACCGUUUGGGUCAUCACAUUCUCUACCUAUAAAAUACAUAUUCCUCCUCAAACAGAUAUAAGAAGGAAGUACGUGAGUCGGGAAAAAGAUGGGGAUAACGGCUCCGCAUAUUGGACUGGGCCUCCUAAGUCGAUGCCUCAGCAGGCUGACCUCUCCACUAAACAUGAAUAGAAGGAAAACUCUUCGACCUCAACUGACAAACCUACCGGUCUAGAAUAGCCACCGGCUCCUCCUCGUAAGAUAAGUUCUUGUCCAACUGGACAAUGCUGAAAUCUAACACGUGGGAUGGAUCGCCGUGAUACCUCCGAAGCAUGGACACAUGAAAUACCAGAUGCAUGGCUGAUAAGCUCGGCGGCAAUGCAAGUCUAUAAGACACCUCUCCCACUUGAUCAAGAAUCUCAAAUGGACCAACGAACCUAGGGCUAAGCUUGCCUUUCUUCCCAAAUCUCAUCACUCCCUUCAAAGGCGACAUUCGGAGCAAUACCCGCUCACCAACCAUAAAAGCCACAUCUCGAACCUUGCGAUCUGCAUAACUCUUUUGCCUGGACUGAGCUGUACGAAACCUAUCCUAAAUGAUCCUGACCUUGUCCAAGGCCUCCUGAGCUAUAUCUGCACCCAACAACCUAGCCUCUCCCACCUUAAACCAUCCAACCAGAGAUCGACACCGCCUACCAUAUAAAGCCUCAUAAGGGGCCAUCUGAUCUCCAGAAGUGUAAGGUAAACUGCGUAUCCUGGUUCGAAAUGAUAGAUACGGGCAUACCAUAAAGGCGAACAAUCUCCCGAAGAUAGAUCUCAGCUAACCUCUCGUAUAAAUAGGAGACUGCCAUAUGAAUGAAAUGCACUGACUUGGUCAGCCUAUCAAUUAUGACCCACACUGUGUCAAACUUCUUCCGAGUCUGCGAAAGCCCAGUAACAAAUUCCACAGCGAUCCACUCCCACUUCCACUCAAGAAACUCGAUCCUCUGAAGUAAACCACCAGGCCUUUGAUGCCCAUACUUAACCUGGCGACAAUUUAAACACUGAGCAACAUAUGCAACAAUAUCCUUCUUCAUUCUACGGCACUAAUAAUGCUGCCGCAAGUCCUGAUACAUCUUCGCGGUGCCCAGAUGAAUAGAGUACUGAGAGCUAUGGGCCUUCUCUAAAAUAAACUCUUGAAGCCCGUCCACAUUGGGCACACAAACUCGACCUUGCAAUCUCAAAACUCCAUCAUCAUCUAAGGUAACCUUCCUAGCACCUCCGCGCUGCAUCGUGUCUCUAAGGAUACAUAAAUGGGGAUCAUCAAACUGCCGAUGACAGAUACGCUCCAAUAGUGAAGAACAAGCGACCGUGCAAGAUAAUACCGAACCAAGCUCAGAAAUAUCCAACCUCCCAAACCGACUGGCAAAAGCUUGAACAUCCAAUGCAAGCAGUCUCUCAUCGACCGGAAUAUAAGAAAGACUGCCCAUCGGACUUUCUACUCAAAGCAUCGACCACCAAAUUGGCUUUUCCCAAGUGAUAUAAGAUAGUGAUAUCAUAAUCCUUCAACAACUCCAACCACCCCCUCUGCCUCAAAUUCAACUCAUUUUGUUUGAAUAAAUACUGAAGACUCUUAUGGUCUGUGAAAACCUCACAUGACAUGCCAUACAGAUAAUGCCUCCAAAUCUUCAAUGCGUGAACAAUGGCCGUCAACUCUAAAUCAUGCAUUGGAUAGUUCUUCUCAUUAAUCUUCAACUUCCUUGAAGCAUAGGCAAUGACCUUUCCAUCCUGCAUCAACACUGCACCAAGCCCAAUACGGGAAGCAUCGCAAUAAACUGCAUAAGGCCCUGAAUCUAUGGGUAAGACCAACACCGGUGCCGUAGUCAGAGCUGUCUUGAGCUUCUAAAAGCCCGCUCACACUUGUCCGAUCAUCUGAACUGGGAACCCUUCUGGGUCAACCUGGUCAUCAGGGAUGGAAUAGAUGAAAACCCCUCCACGAACCGACAAUAGUAGCCUACCAAUUCCAAGAAACUCCAAAUCUCUGUAGCUGAUGCUGGUUUAGGCCAAUUCUUGACUGCCUCAAUCUUCUUCGGAUCAACCUGAAUACCCUCAGUCGAUACAACAUGAACCAGGAAUGCAAUUGAACCCAACCAGAACUCAUACUUCGAGAACUUAGCAUAUAACUGACUAUCCUUCAGAGUGUGAAGAACCACUCUGAGAUGCUGCUCUUGCUCCUCCUCGCUGAGGUAAUAUAUCAAAAUAUCAUCAAUGAAUACUAUCACGAAUGAGUCCAGAUAAGGCCUGAACACUCAGUUCAUCAAACCCAUAAAAGAUGUUGGGGCGUUUGUCAACCUCAAUAACAUAACUAAGAACUCAUAAUGCCCGUACCAAGUGCAGAAUGCUGUCUUAGGGACAUCAGAUAUCCUAAUCCUCAACUGAUGGUAGCUAGAUCUAAAGUCAAUCUUUGAAAAUGCCUUAGCACCUUGAAGUUGAUCAAAUAAAUCAUCAAUCCUCGGCAAUGGAUACUUAUUCUUGAUUGUAACCUUGUUCAAUUGCCAGUAAUCAAUACACAUUCUUAUUGACCCAUCCUUCUUCUUAACAAACAACACUGUCGCACCCCAAGGCAAUACACUAGAUCUAAUGAAACCCUUCUCAAGCAAGUCUUUCAACUGUUCCUUUAACUCUUUCAACUCAGGAGGGGCCAUACGAUAUGGCAGGAUAGAAAUGUUCUGGGUGCCCAGAGCCACAUCAAUGCAAAAGUUAAUAUCCUUGUCGGGCGGCAUACCCAGCAGGUCGAAGGGAAGACCUCAGGAUACUCACGAACAACAGGCACAAAAUUAAUAGAAGAGACCUCAGCAGUAGGAUCACGAACAUAUGCCAAAUAGGCCAAACAUCCCUUCUCGACCAUACGCUAAGCCUUCACAUACGAGAUAACACUGCGGGUAGAAAUACUAGGAGUCUCUCUCCACUCAAAAUGAGGCAUACCCGGUAUGUUAAGGUCAGAGUCUUAGCAUGACUGUCCAAGAUAGCAUGGUAAGGUGAUAACCGGUCGAUCCUAAUAUAACAUUGAAAUCGACCAUGUCCACAAGCAACAAAUCCACACGAGUCUCCAAACCCUUAAUCAUAACUAAACAAGAAUGAUGGACUCAAUCUACCAUGAUAGAAUCACCCACCUGUGUAGACACAUAAACAAGAUCACCUAAUGAAUCACUAGGCAUGACCAAAUGCGGGGCAAAAUAAGAUGACACAUAUGAGUAUGUAGACUACGGAUCAAAUAAAACUGAAGCACCUCUAUUAUAAACCAGAAUAGUACCUAUGAUCACCGCAUCUAAAGCCUCGACCUCGGUCCUGGGUGGAAGUGCAUAACAUCGGGGCUAGGCCCUACCACUCGGAGCUACAUCUCUGGGAUGCCCUGCAGCUAGCUGGCCUCUACCUCUAACGGUCUAAGCUCCACCUCUAAAUCCUUUAGCUUCACCUCUAGAAUCUCUACCCCCACAUCUAGCUGGCUGGGCGUUCUGUGGAACAUCUGGUGCCUGAAUCAUAGCUCGGGAACCCUGUUGCUGUGACCAAGUGCUCACUAACCUCGGACAAGCCCUUCAAAUAAGACCAUACUUACCACACUGAUAAAAUCCACCCGAAUGUUGUGGUUGAGGAACUGAGACUGACCUUGGCGACUUGAAUGACCACCCCAAAAACUCUGGAGUGGCGGUGCACUGGUAGGAGUUGGUAGCGCACUGUAGGGCUGCUGAUCAAAAUACUGCAUGGGAGAACUACGGCCACCUGAAGCACCGUGAGAAACUUGGAGAGCUAACUAAAAGGGCUUAGGAGGAUGACCCCUAUCAUACAAAUCUCUGCCUCCAGACGAAGCGCCACUAAAUCUGUCUGACUGACGGGGUUUCUUGUCUGUCCUAUGACCACCCCUUGUGAUAAUACCAUCUCAACUCUCCGGGCCACAUUGGCCGCCUCCUGGAAGGAUAUCUCACUCCCAGCCUCUCUGGCCAUCUAAAGAUGAAUCGGUUGGAUGAGUCCAUCAAUAAACCUCCUAUCUCUCUCUCUCUCUCUCUGUAGGAAGUAUGACAAAAUCAUGGCAAGCUAAGUCGAUAAACAUGGUCUCAUACUGGGUAACCGUCAUGGAACCCUGGUGGAGGUGCUCAAACUGUCUCAGAUAAGCCUCUCUGUGAGUAAUGGGGAGAAACUUCUCCAGAAAUAACACUGUAAACUGCUCCCAAGUCAAAGAUGGCGACCCGGUUGUCCUAGCUAAGCAAUAAUCCCUCCACCAAGUCUUGGCGGAUCUAGACAGGCAAAAUGUAGAAAAAUCAACCAUAUUGGUCUCAACAAUUCCCCUGUUCCUGAGAACCUCGUGGUAGCUAUCUAGAUAAUCCUGGGGAUCCUUAAUAGAUGCACCACUAAAAGUAGAAGUAAAGAGCUUGGUGAACAUAUCCAGCCUCCGCAAAGCAUCAGCAGACAUGGCUGUUCUAUCCCCAGUCUGAGCUAAUACCUCGGUUGAACUGCUCCAACUGGCUGAACUGUUGGAGUUUGAUACCUGCUCCGGAGUGUGAGUGGCAGGAGUCUAAGCCCCUCUUCUAUCCUGAGAGAUAACUGGUGCUAUGAGAAGCAAACCUGCUGUGGUGACACUCUCCAUGAGGCCCACCAAUCAGACUAAAGCAUUAAACACCUUCGGGACCUGAGUUGGGCCCAUCAUAACUGUUGGGGUCGGAUCCUUCUCGUCAAAAUCAACCUGAGGCUCCGCCACUGGUGGUACUGCUCGAGGCUGAGCCCUGCCCUACCUCGGCCUCUAGCACGGCUUCGGCCUCUGCCUCUCAUGGGAGCUGCUAUUGGGGGCUGGGCUGCUGAGUGGUAGAUGAGGAAGCACGUGUUCUCGCAAUCUGUGAAAGAACAAAGUAGAAAUUGGAUUAGCAUUUGAGAAAAAAAAACCGCACAAUAAUAAAGAAAAAAUGUGAAGUUUUCCUAACUCUGUAGCCUCUGGGGGAUAAAUACUGACGUCUCCGUACCGAUCCCUCAGACUCCACUAAGCUUUUCUGUGAGUUGUGAAACCUAUGUAACCUAGAAUUCUGAUACCAACUUGUCACGACCCGAAAUUCUCACCAUCGGGAGUCAUGAUGGCGCCUACUAGUGGAAGAUAGGCAAGCCAUGAAUCUUUGAACCAUUAACCCUUUCGUUUUAAAACUCUUUACCAAUUAUGUUAACAAGAAAACAAAAGUUAAAUAACAGCGGAAUGUAAGAUCUAGCGGAAGUCUCAGAUAAAUAGAAAACCAAAAUGUCUAGAAAAUCAAUACAAGUCUCUACAUAGAACCUGGAGUCACAACAUCCACGCACUAGUAUGAAUAUUAAAAUACAUCAAUUUGAAGGAAAAGUAAAGUUGUUUGUCUCGAAUGCAUGAGAUAACAAGAUAUAAAAUAAGAUAGAGGAGACGUCGGGCCUGCGAAUGUCUACAAGGCCACCUCGGUGUCUUUGUGGACUGAAGUCUGGCUCCCAAACCACUACUGCGCGCCAAAUGUUGCUUCGGUACCUACACAGAGUGCAGAGUGUAGUAUGAGCACAACUGACCGCAUGUGCUAGUAAGUGUCUGGCCUAACCCCGACGAGGUAAUGAAGAGGCUAGAACCAGACUCCAAAUAAACUUGUCGAGUUAUAUAAUAUAUAGCAAAAAAAUAAAGAGGUAAUAAGCAGUUAAAUAGGGAAGAGGUACAUGCUUCGCGGAAACAACUCAACCUAGCAGAAGCCAAAUGAAUAUGAAAGAUCAGUACAAUAUCUAUAUCAACGUAAUAAUACUACUGUUGUGGCACUCAACCCGAUCCAUACAUAGGUAUUUAGUUGUUGCGGUGUGCAACCCAAUCCAAUAUAAUAAUUAUUCUAGCGUGCAACUUGAUCCAAUAUAAUAGUUGUUGCAGCGGCAACCCGAUCCAAUAAAAUAAUUAUUGUUGCGUGCAAUCCGACCCAAUAUAAUAUUUGUUGCGGCGUAUAACCCGAUCCAAUAUAAUAUCUUUUGCGCACGUGCAACCCAAUCCAAUGUAAUAUCUGUUGUGGAAAAUCUGACGAGGUAUGGCCGGCACUCAGUGCCAUACUUGGCCUGAGCGUACCACUCUAUAACUAAGAACUCUGGAGGGGUAACCCUCAACUUAGGCUAAUAAGACCAUAUUUUGAAUCAUAUGAAAAUAUCGACUCUCUUUUCUGAGGGGUAAGCAUACCCAAAAGCUCAUAUAUAUAUAUACAAACUAUGCAGGACUCGUCUACAAGCCUCUUGAGAUAACUCAACUGUACCAUGGUCGGGAUAGGUCCUCAAUUGUCACGAUAUACAAACUAUACAGGACUCGUCUACAAGCCUCUAGAGAUAACUGAACUAUUCCAUGGUCGGGACAAGGCCUCGACCUACCCAUCAAAUUUUUUAUAAAAAAUGGACUCCAAAGUGUAGACCUGGUAACUCCGAGGAAGUGGAGCUUACCAAUAAAGCUGGGGCUUGACUCUGUCUGCUGGGAGGGUCUGUCCAACUGUCAAUGAGGACCUGCAAUAUAUAUAUGUUAACAAAAAUGUUGCGGCGUGAAACCCAUUUCAAAUAUACAGCUCACAGUAAUCAUAACAAUAGUCCCGGUAAGGGAUUAACCAUAAGUUACACUAUUCCAGCAAGGGAACACAACAGUACAAGAAUAUCCGUCCCCGCAAGGGAGAAUCAGCUAUAACCAAUCUCAACUCAACUUCCAAUCAUCUAUAGUAUCACCAUUUCUAACUCAUAAGUAACUUCCACGAAAAUAAACUAAGCCUUUUUCCCAAUAUCACGGAUUUACUCACUAUUGCAACCAUAGUAUCAUUUAAGAAAAAGUAACAAGUAUCAAAUUUAAGACCCACUGUCAUGCUCGACAUCAACGUACAUAUACUUUUCACCAUGCCUAUACGUCGUACUCAACAAGAAACAAGUAGCAAAUAUGACUCAACUCCUAAUCCCUCAGGCUAAGGUUAGACCGAAAAUUUACCUCAAACUUUCACAACCAACUCAAUCUUUAAUUACCUCCUUUCCUUUCGAAUUGGACUCCAAAUCAAUUUUAUUUAUACAUAAUUGACUUCAUAACAUCAAUAAAUGCUAAACAAUUCAAAUUAAAUGCCUAAUUAUAGCUUGCCAAUUAUUCUUCUCCAAAACCCAAAAAUUGAUCCCGAGCCUGCUUGGUCAAAACAUGAGAUUCGGACCAAAAUCAAAUCACACAUUCACCCACGAGCCCAAAUGUAUAAUUAUUUCAAAAAUUCGAUCACAAACCGAGGUCUAAAUCACAAUUAAUCAAAAAGCCUUAUUUCUACCCAAACCCUUAAUUUUCUACCUUUAAUUCCAUAUUUUAAGACCUAGAAAUCUAUUGGGUGUUAAUGGAAAAUGAAGAAAACAAGUCUCAGAUUACAUAUCUAAGAAUUUGUGGUGAAAUCCUAUUUCAAAAUUUCCCAAUUUGGAGUUGAGAUGAAAAAGUUAUGAAAAUUUGAACAAUUUUCGUUUAAGCUACUAUUUUAAAAUCGCAGGGCAAACAUUUGUCACACCUCCUUUUGGCUAGUACAGCCCAGCGAAGGGCGUAGAUAAGGGAGUUUUUCCAAUUAAAUGACAAUCGACACGGGAUUCAAUUAUUUAAGGGAAUUUUAGAGUCGCCACUUGGGAGAUUUAUGAUGUCCCAAGUCACCAUUUAGAAUCCCAAAUCGAGGAAAGAAUGACUCUGUUUAACAGUCCGCGAACCAGAAAUCCGAGUAAGGAAUUCUGUUAAACCGGAAGAAGGUAUUAGGCAUUUACGGAUUCUGUGGUUCUAGCACAGUCGCUCAACUGUUAUAUUUGGCUCCAAUUAUCUAAUUUUAUGCAAUUAUGAACCUAUGUGCAUUUGAAUCUUUUACCACUUUUAUUAUUAUUUUUAAAGAAAAUUGCAAUGUCGUUAAAACAUGUCUCGAACAACGUCACAUAUAUGCUCUCGUGGAUUUUGACACUUUUCAACUUCGUUGAGAUUCGGAUUUGGGUCACAUAAAUAUGCACCCGAAUUUAGGAAAGUAAUAUUAUCAAGCACGCGCCUAGAGCAGCUACGCAUUAUUAACUGUGCGAGAGGCCGUGAAAAUUCACUAAACGAUAUUUUCCGGAGUUCUAAGAACAGGCAUAGUUAAAGAGGGCCACACAUUUGUGAUUUAUUUGGCGUGGUGCAUCUCGAGUCUAUUUCAUAGGAUACUUAGACUAAAUGCUCAAAGUGCCAUAACUAUUUGUUAUCUAUUACGGCUCACCUCCAGAUUACUUCAAGAAGCUAACUAAUUAAGAUUGAACAUGAAAGAGACCUUAAGUAAUUGACUGAAAUCUCACACGGGGGAGGGAUUGAUUCUCCAGUUAGGCUCAUGAAUAGGCCCAAAUUCAUGAGGGCAUGCCAAACAGUCCUCACAAAAGGCUCACAUGUGAAAAUAACUGGGCUCCCAAAUGAAGCCCAACUCGGUAGUGUGAUUGUGGUUGGCAUCAUCGUAAUCGGGCCAAAUGACAGCCCAAAGCAUAAACAUUAAAUAUAUUUGAAGUAAAUCGCACCAUUUAGAAGAAAACAUACAACUGGAAUUCAAAUGCAAAGCAGAUUUAAGGCGAAUAUGGAUUCAUUUAAAUCAUUUAACACCGUAGCUUCCCUAAUGGUACAUUCAACACAUGAAAUUCGAAAUUACGACCAACAUUCAGUUAUUGCAAUGCCAAGGAUCAAACCACAACUAUAAUAAGACUAAACUUAAUAAAACAAAGGUGACUCAAAUGGAAUAGAAUACACACAACCUAGAUCUAACACUACUAUGCCAUCUAAUUAGUCGUAUCAAAAGAGAAAUUAUUACAUGACUAACACAAUCAAACCAGCCACAACCUACUUUGGAAAUUACAUGAAUUUAAACUUCAAGAACUAUAGAAUAAAAUAAAAUAAUAGCAGAAUAGGUGAUGUCCACAAGUAACAAUGCAUCCAUUUGCUCCUCAAGUCAUUACUUCAAUUUACAUGCUUAAAUGGACUCUAAGAACUGGAAUAUACAUGGAAAUAGUAAAAGAAAGCAGAGAAAUGAGGAAUCAAUAGAAGAGCAGCAACAUGAGAAAUAUCCAACAGCAAAACCAACCCAGGAAUGGUCGAAGGACACCACUUUAAACAAUUUCUAAUUCACCCAAUGCCACUCAAAGUACAGAAUCAGAUUUCAACCAAAAUGAUCCCAAAACUUGGAUAUCACCCAUAUUUCAGCUCAUUUUAACUAUCAAUUGUUUAAAAUUUUGUUAUGGAGUGAAUUCCACAAGAAUUCUCGGAGAUCAUUCAAUGAAACAGUAAUAUUUUCUUUAACUCUCUAAAUAGCAGCUUUUGUUUCUAGGUUUUUCAGCCUCUGAAAAAAACUUGUCCAUCCAGGCAUUUGGGUGCCCUUUAUCUAAAGCCUUUAGGGCAACUCCUUUUUCUUGUUUUACCCCCCUUAGUCCUUAUCCUAUCUUCAGAUUUACUAUCUUAGUCCCUCAUUUUCUAGCUUGCUACCCAAGUUAUAACAAAUAAAAGGUCUGAAUUUCAAUUUGACCCCUAUUCUAGAAGCUUCCAGGGAUUUCCAUUCUAGUGACUACAUGUUUCUCAUGUUGAAUUACUUAUACUACCCCUUACCCUUUUCUAGAAUUACCUAAACGACACAAUUACAUAUUCAGCUUCCUUCACUCUAGUCAAACUAACUAUAGUCAAUUAGCUUAUGAACUACAAACUUCCCAGUUGUAACCAAGAUUUAAACUAACUAACCUAGCUAAACAAAUUGAAAUUAAACUCUAAGGCAUCUUAAAUAGAACUAAAAUUAAGCCAAUCAAUAAUAAAAGAACAAAUGAAACUCAUUAUGCAAAAUAAACGAACAAAACUCAAAAAUACAAAGCAGCAGAUAACAUGGAAUCCAAUCAAACCAUUCAAAUUACUAAUAAAUCUAAACUAUAUGGUAAAAAAAAAGAAAUAGAAACUUUAAACGAAACACUAAACUAAUCACAAAGAUCAAAACGGAACAAAAACAACAAAAAAUGAGAAUAAAAAUCACAAAUAAAAAUAGAUAAGGAAGUAAGAACAAAAUACCUCGAACUUUGAUUCAAACUCAAACACUGGCGGAUUUCUUGGCAUUAUUUGGGGUCAAACCGUCCUUAAUCAUGUGUUUUCUAUGAGAAAACACAAGACUAAGGGCUAUUAGAGCCCAAAAUCAAAGAAUCCCUAGACUCAACCAAUUAGGGUUCUGGGUUAAGUGUCGAAUUAGGAUUUGAAAUGAACAGGGAGGAUUCGAGGAUUGAGGGUCAUGGAUUUAAGAUGAGGGGUGUAAGGAGCAUGCAUAGUGUUAAUUUGGUGGAUUUUAGAAAGGGUUGUAUUUUGGCCAGAUUGUUCAAAUAAAAAUCUGAGGAGUUGUGGUAUGAUUCGAGCCCAAAGAGUUACAGGAAUGGGAAGGGAAGGUCAGGGGGUGCAAUGGUGGAAAUAUGGGAGGAUUUGUAAGUAACGCCACUGUGGGCAGUGGAGACGGUAAUCAUACAAUUGCAUAUUCGAGGAGCUUGGUAGAAAUUCGAGAGAAGCCAGGCUGAGAUUUGGAAUUAGGUCAGUGUAGUUCGGGAGUGUUUGGUAGCUGGGACUACCAGGAGAUGUUAUUUCACUACUGCUACUGCUACUGCUAGACCUCCUUAUCACACCUUGUGAAAAAUGAAGAAUCUAAACUAAGCUAUGAACUACGGAUUACAAAAGAACCUAUCUACGUUUUCAAUCUUGCUCUUGAUCCUUGUUGCUUUGCUGCCUUGUAUUUCUUCUUGUGAACUCCUUGUUGCCUUGUUGACUGGUAUUUCUUCUUGUAGAGCUUCUUGUUGCCUUGUUGACUUCUUGUUUUCUCUUCUUUCAUGUUGAAAUUUGAAAAAUAUUCCUUUAUUCUAACAGGUGGGCGCCUGAUUACCAAAACAAAAAAUUUUGAAAAGUGUUCCCUUGUUUUGUAGGUGGGCGCCUGAUUACCAAAACUUGACACUUGAAAAAUAUUCCCUUGUUCUACAGGUGGGCGCAUGAUUAUCAAAACUUGAAUCUUGAAAAGUAUUCCCUUCUUCUACAAGUGGGUGCUUGAUUACCAAAACUUGAAUCUUGAAAAGUAUUCCCUUGUUCUACGGGUGGGCGCCUGAUUACCAAAACUUGAAUCUUGAAAAGUAUUCCCUUGUUCUACAGGUAGGCGCUUGAUUGCCAAAGCUUGAAACUUGAAGUAUUCCUUUGUUCUACAUGUGAGCGCCUGAUUACCAAAACUUGAAUCAUGAAAAGUAUUCCCUUGUUCUACAGGUGGGCGCCUAAUUACCAAAACAUGAAUCUUGAAAAGUAUUCCCUUGUUCUAGAGGUAGGCGCCUGAUUACCAAAACUUGAAUCUUGAAAGUAUUCCCUUGUUCUACAAGUGGGCGCCUGAUUACCAAAACUUGAAUCUUGAAAAGUAUUCCCUUAUUCUACAGGUGGGCUCCUGAUUACCACAACUUGAAUUUUGAAAAAUAUCCCCUGAGACUACUGUUUGUGUACCUGAUCACAACAAAACAAAAAAAAAUAAGAAAUUCUUUUUGCCACAGGUUGGUGCUAGGCGGAUCUGUGAGUGUUAAUCAAAUCUCCUUACCAAAUAUCUCUAGUACUAAGUCCCAUUAUCCAGGAGGGUCCUAAAACUGAUGACAACUUUAUUAUGUUAUGUUUUCACAAAAGGUAUUAUUUUUGGCUCUGUCUUGUUAUAAGUUAUAUUUGCUGGGGAUCUACUGGUGAUUGGUGAUUAAAACUACUUUCCAUUAUCCAGGCGGGUCCUGACAACUCUUAAUUAGAUGAAAAAAUGUAUCUGUUGGAGGUUAAUACUACGUCCCAUUAUCCAGGCGGAUCCUGGUGACUCUUGUUGGGGAAGUAUUUGGGUUUGACCAUGCCACCCCACUUUUGUGUUCUAGGCUAAGUCCCAUUUUUCAGGAGGGUACAACUCUUAGCUGAAUCCUACGUCAACAUGCAAGUCAUUUUAUGCCCUUUACUAUCCAUGAUUACCUCUAACCUUUAAAUGAGUCCCAUUUUCCAGGAGGGUCCUUAGAGUUCUAACUUAAAUGCGAAUUCUAACUUCUGGUUGUUUUUGCUAGUGAUUAUUGUCAAGAAGGGUUUCUGCGACUUUUACUGGGGAAAGUGUUGGUUCUUGCCCAUGUUACCCGCACCUAUUUGCGUUUUAAACGACGUUCCAUCUCAACUUCCAUGCUUCUUUUAACCCUCAAUUGUUUCGACUGAGGUUUGCUAGUUAAUGUUUGUCCUACUGUGCUCUUUACCGGGGAGGAUAUUUAUGACAGGCUAUGUCCCUUUUAAGUUUUAAAUGAGUCCCACUUCCAAGUGAGCAGUGAGAUUUUGAUCAUACCUGCCAUGUGCCUGUCUUCUCCUGCGGAUGGCCCCCCCCUUUUGGGCUCUUUCGAAAUUUUUCUGCCCAUGUGUCAAUCAAAGAGAACUUGUCAGUUUGUAAAAAGGUGGUUAGCUUGCGGCAUUCUUGUUCAAAUUGGCCUCCCCAUUGUUGUGUUCCAUUUUGUUCCCAUUUUCCAUGUUUAUGAUGAGUUUCUUGAGCUGCUCAACUGAUCCAUCAAUCCUUUACGACUUUACUUUUGCUCCCCAUCAUUGUGUUACAUUUCUUACCCUUCUGCCAGAAUCCUUGCACCUUUCUCGAAAUUGCCGGUUCGAUGCAUUACGCUUGGCUGACCCUCUAACCCUUGUGACUUUACUAUGUUCCCAAUCUUUGUGUUUCUUUUUUGAGCCUUUGCUAAAAUUCUUACAUCCUUUCCUGAGAUUACCUGGUCAGUUUACAAUGUUUGGCUGAUCCUUGACCUUUGUGUCUUUACUUUGCUCCCCACCUGUGUUGCAUUUCCUACCUUUUGCCGGAAUUUUUUAUCCUUGUGACCUCUCCCAUCUUUGUGUUGUGCUUCUGACUCUUUUUUGCAAGAAACCUUUCAUUCCUUCUGAGAUUGCCGGUCGGUGUGUUAUGCUUGGCUGACCCCAGAACCUUUGUGAUUUUACUUUGCAGCCCUAUCUCUGUGUGGUGCUCCUUUACUUUUCCAACUCUUGUCUCUUCCAUCAAUUUUAUCAUUGAAGCCCUUGUGAAUCCCCCCCCCCUUUUCUGUUUCUGACUUUGUUAUCUUUGUUACGUUUUUGGGUGUCAUGCGCUUUGUCUCUUUGGGAGCUGAUAAUAGGCUUUGAAAUUUCUCCUGUUUGCUUAAACAAAAUACCUUAGAGACUCGAAAGAAAAAUGAAAUGCAAUGACUUAGAAUUGUAUUUAGGGCAAAGAAUUCCAGGUUCACUGACUAUUGAAAGGAAGAGAGAGGAAACUUAUCUGAGGAAAAGCAACUGGUUUCUCAUGAUCAUGACAUGCACUUCGGCUUAGUCGAACCAGUCUGUUCCGAUGACCGGCCUUGCGUUUCCACGCUUUCGUUUUUAUGACCAUUUCCAACUCGAUUCCUUCAACCAAACCCUAACUUUGUUUGUCUUACGAUAUUCUGGACGGAUCUCCUCCAACUACCCCUUUUUUAUUGUUGCUUCUUCCCUUGCCUUUGCCUCAUGGUGACCGUGAGGGUUUUCACCAAUGAGACUCACUCAUUUUAUUUUUCUCGACUCGCAUCGUCUUACGGUGCCCGUGAGGGUUUUCACAAAUAGGACUCUCUCAUUUUAUUAUUUUCUACAAAAGCUAGAAUGCCGUCCCGAGGUAUGAUCCACUUCUCCUUGCUUGUCCUGUCUUACAGAUUGAUCAGAAGGUCUUUCUUUGGAUUGUAAUGUAGGCUUUGGAUAGGGUUAGAAAGAAAAGGUGUGAAAGACUCAAAAAUCGCUUUUAUGGGUUCACGAUUUACAACUUUCGGAAUCAAAACAAAUGCAAUUUCUUCCCCGGUUUCUUGCUUGGGGAUUUUGGGUUUUAUUUGAAUAUGACCGAGCCUUAAGGCUGCCUACAAAUCCUAAUAAUGAAUCAGGUCAAACGUAGUUCCUACUGAUUCCUUGCGUUCACCGUUGUUUGAUUUCCUUUUCCUCCUCUCCUGCUGCUACUCUUCUUACUUUUUCCUUUUCUUCUAUUUUUCUUUUUCUUUCUUUUCUUUUUUUCCCUUUUCUUUUUCUCUCUUUUCCUUCCCCUUUUUCUUCUUCUUUUUUUCUUUCUCUUCUUCUCCUUUUCUUUUCCUUUCUUUCUUUUUUUUCUUUUUCUUUUCUUCCUUUGCUUUGCCUUACUUUCUCUUUUCAUUAUUGACUGUUCGCUGCCUUUCAUAAUUGCGUUUCUAACUCUCGUUAUUCAUUUGAAAGAGGGGAUAUGAAAAGAAAAAUAGCUGAAGCUCAAAGGGGUUAACAAAGGGUAAAGUAUUUAGAUAGCUGAAUAAAAUGCAUUCAUCAUUCCAAUCUAUAAAACAUGCCAACUAUAAAUAAACGCCAAGUAUAGACAGUAAUCUAAACAAAAUAGAAUCAUACAUAAUAUCUUUUGACGGCAUCUGAAUUGGUAGACAUUUCUACAUAUUUUCUUCCACAUCUAUCAGAUACAAGGCUCCAUUAGACAGCACUCUUGACACGAUGAACGGUUCUUGCCAGUUUGGAGCGAACUUGCCCUUUGACUUAGCCUGGUGAGGGUGGAUGUGUUUCAACACUAAUUGACCCACUUCAAACUUUCUGGGAUGCAUUUUCUUGUUAUAUGCUCUGGCGAUCCUCUGUUGAUACAACUGGCCGUGACACACCGCCGCCAAUAUUUUCUCGUCAAUCAAAAAUGAGUUUUAACCCAUUCUUAACCAUCGAUUCCUACUUCAGCCACAAUCCAAAGGGAGGGGAUUUCAAUUUCAGCCGGGAUUACUGCUUCUGUGCUAUGUACCAACAAUUAUGGAGUUGCCCCUACCGAGGUGCGAACAAUAGUGCAAUAGACUAACAAUGCAAAGGGUAACCUCUCAUGCCACUGCAUGUACCCUUCCACCAUUUUAUGAAAUAUCUUCUUUAUGUUUUUAUUGGCUGCCUCGACUGCUUCGUUUUCCUUGGGGCGGUACGGGGUGGGAUUUCGAUGUGUGAUCUUGAACUGCUGACAUACUUCUCUCAUUAAGUGACUGUUGAGAUUUGCCCCAUUGUCGGUAUGAGAGUCUUGGGGAUUCCGAACCGACAAAUGAUAUUUGCAUGGACAAAGUCGACCACGGCCUUCUUGGUUACUUUCAUGAAGGUUUUGUCUUCAACCCAUUUAAUGAAAUAGUCAAUAGCAACCAGGAUAAAUUUGUGUCCGUUAGAAGCCGCUGGAUCAAUGGGCCCGAUAACGUCCAUGCACCAAGCAAUAAAGUCCAUGGUGAAGACAUUGUAUGCAAUUCAGAUAGCAGGGAGUGAAUUAAAUCUCCAUGCACCUGACAUUGAUGACAUUUGCGCAUGAAGCUGAUACAAUCUCGCUCCAUGGUGAGCCAAUAAUAUCCUACCCGGAGAAUCAUUUUUUCCAAAACAUAUCCGUUCAUGUGUGGCCCGCAUAGGCCAGCAUACACCUCAUUCAUGAUGUUUGUCGCAUGCCUAGCAUCUAUACAUAUCUUAACAAACCGAUAUCCGGCAUUUUUUGUAUAAUAUUCCUCCACUGAAGAAAAACCCACUUGACAGACGACGGAUUGUUUUCUUCUAGUCACUCGCAGCUUGUAUCGGGUACACACCUCCUCUGAUAUAUUCUUUGAUGUCGUGGAACCAAGGCUCACCGUCAAGCUCUUCUUCCACCAUGUUGCAAUAAUCAUGUUGAUCAUGGACCCGGAUAUGUAUCGGGUCAACAUAAGCCUUAUCCGGACAAUGUAACCUUGACGCCAAAGUAGCCAAGGCAUCGAAAACCUCAUUGUGGAUUCUGGGGAUGUGCCUGAACUCUAUUAACCGGAAUCGUUGACAAAGAUCAUUCAAGCAUUGCCAGUAUGGUAUGAGCUUUAAGUCUUUUAUUUCCCAUUCCCCUUGAAUUUGGUGUACCAGAAGGUCUGAGUCUCCCAAGACCAAGACUUCCUAGACACCCAUGUUUGCUGCUAAUCUCAAACCUAAAAUACAUGCCACAUAUUCUGUCAUAUUGUUGGCGUAAUAGAAGCAGAGUUGAGGUGUGACUGGGUAAUGAUGCCCUUCUUUAGAAAUGAGCACUUCUCCUAUCAUGAUGCCUUUCAUGUUGGCAUCCCCAUCGAAGAACAAUUUCCAUCCCGACUUCUCACCCCGUUCCGUUUUGUCAACAUGCAUGACUUCAUCGUCCGGGAAGUAUGCGUUCAAGGGCUCAUACUCUUCAUCUAUCAUAUUCUUAGCUAAAUGAUCUGCCAGUGCCUGUGCUUUCAUGGCAGUUCUAGUCAGUAGAUAAUGUCAAACUCAUUGAGCAAUAUUUGCCAUUUUGCGAGCCUUCCUGUGGGCAUUGGCUUCUGUAAGAUGUACUUCAAUGGGUACAAACGCGAGAUGAGAUAAGUGGUAUAUAAGGACAAGUAAUGCUUUAGUUUCUAGGCUACCCAUGUCAAGGCACAUCAGGUCUUUUCAAGAUGAGUACACUUUACCUCGUAAGCCAUGAACUUCUUGCUGAGGUAGUAUAUAGCCUGCUCUUUUCUCACAGUAACAUCGUGCUAACCCAACACGCAUCCAAAUGAGUUGUCCAAAACUAUCAAAUAUAAAAUCAAGGGCCUUCCUGGUUCUGGCGAGACCAAUACUGAUGGGUUCGACAAAUAUUCCUUUAUCUUAUCAAAAGCCUCUUGGCACUCUCCCGUUCAUUUCAUCGCAGCAUCCUUUUUCAAUAGCUUAAAGAUGGGCCCGCAUAUGGUUGUGAGCUGAGCAAUGAACCGACUGAUGUAAUUCAAUUUUCCCAAUAGACUCAUCACCUCUAUUUUGUUCCUCGGUGGCGAUAAUUCCUAUAUAGCUUUGACUUGAUGGGUCUAGUUCAGCGCCUCGUCGGCUGACUAUGAACCCCAACAACUUCGCCGAGGGGACCCCAAAUAUGCAUUUUGCCGGGUUGAGUUUGAGGUCAUAUCUGCGGAGCCUCUGGAAGAAUUUCCUCAGGUAUUUGACAUUAUCGGAUUGCUUUCUGUACUUCACUAUCACAUCAUCCACAUAGACCUCGAUUUCUUUAAUUGCCCUCAUGUAUGUCGCCCCGGCGUUAUUCAAACCAAAAGACAUGACCCUAUAGCAAUAUGUCCCCCACGGAGUGAUGAAUGUUGUUUUCUUCAUAUCCUCUUCAUCCAUUAGGAUCUGGUGGUAACCUCGUAACAAUCCAUGAACGACCCGAUCUCAUGCUUCGCACAGUUGUCGAUAAGUAUGUUAAUGUUUGGCAUGGGGAAAUUGUCCUUUGGACUUGCUUUGUUGAGUUCACGAUAAUUGACACACACGCUGGUUUUACCAUCCUUUUUUGGUAAGGGCACAACAUUAGCUAACUAGGUGGGAUAUCGUGUAACUCGUAUAAAUUUUGCCUCAAACUGCUUGGUCACUUCCUCUUUGAUUUUCACGCUCACAUCAGUUUUGGACUUUCUCAAUUUUUGUUUGAUGGGAGGGAAGGCUGGGCCGGUGGGCAACUUGUGAACCACCAACUUAGUGCUCAACCUGGCCAUAUCAUUGUAGGACCAUGCAAAGACAUCUUUGUACUCAAGCAGUACUUCAAUUAUUUUUUUCCUGAGUUGUGAUUCCAGAUGGACACUUAUUUUUGUUUCUCUGACAUUAUCGGGCUUCCUAAAUUGACCGCCUCUGUAUCACUCAGGUUUGGUUUGGGUUUCUCUUCAAAUUGGCUCAACUCUUUACUAAUCUCAUCCCAAGACCCUUCCUCAUCGUAUUCCGGCUCAUCCUCAUGCUCUAUUUCCUGAAUUAUUAUUUCCGAACUAGACUGAUUUUUAGGACUGGGCCGAGGAGUCCUUAUGCAUGUCAGAUCACUGGAACCAGCAUAAAAAUAACUGUACAAUCCUCAUGUUCUAUUUUCUGAAUUGUUAUUUCUAAAGUAGACCGAUUUUGAAGACUAGGCCGAGGAGUCAUUAUAAAUGUCAUAUCACUGGAACAAGCAUAAAAAUAACUGUGCAAAAGAGAAAAGAAAGAGAAGUAAAGAAAAAUGGAAGCUAUCAGCAUUGCUGGAAGGGAAAUUGCAUUUCAUUAGAAUCAAAGAUAACAGAGUUUACACAUCCAAACGGAUGGAAAUAAUAACUGAAUUAACAACUCUGAAGCUAAUCCAAACUAGGCUGAAAUAAAAAUCAAAGCCAACUACCACGACUCCCUCCGGAUGGGAAGAGUAGUGGCUUCCCAGUUAUUGACUUUUGCGCAUGCUCCCACAAACUGCACAUCUACCCUGCUCGAUCCUUCUCCAGCCUCGACCAUAUUUACCUCAUUGAAGAGCCUUUCUAACCCCUUAUCCAGAUCCCCAUCCGCGUUGAUCAGCGGACAGGGAAUCCUUGGUACGGAGCAAUUGCUAGUACUGGGCUUGACAAAUGAUUUGGACAACCUCGAGAUGGGCUUUGAGAGAGCCCAACACUUCUGCUUUAGCUUCCUGGCUUGCCUUAUGUCUGCGGUUGUAGGCUUGAACCCUAGACCAAAAGUGUCCAGAUUUUUAGGGAGGGAAACUGGUUGCACAAUGCCUUGUAGAGCAACACUCAACCCCUUGCCGGGCAUGAAACCAUUCUUCAACAUUUAUGAAGCCACCAUGACAGACGCAGCUGCUAUCUUUGGAGUCAUGACAACCACACCUUCUGGGAUCUUCUCAACGGACAUCGUAUCAAAUACCUGGCAGACCCAGGGCCCUUUGCUGUCUUCGGAUUCAAUAAAAGGUAUAAUAGCAUCACCCGAAACAUACUGAUUAUCUUCACCGUGCACCACAAUCUCUUGCCUAUCCAAUUCAAAUUUGACCAUCUGGUGCAAAGUAGAUGGCAAUGCCUUAGCUGCGUGAAUCCAUGGCCUGCCCAACAAUAGGUUAUAAGAGACUACCACGUCCAGCACUUGAAAUUCCAUGGUGAACUCAAGGGGCCCUAUUGUCACUUCUAGCACUAUGUCCCCUACUGAGUCUUUACCUCCGCCAUCGAAACCUCGAACACAAAUGUUAUUCUUCUGGACCCUUUCAUUUUCUACAUUCAGCUUGGACAAUGUGGAGAGUGGGAAAAUAUUUGCACUGGACCCGUUGUCGACCAGAACCUGGGUGACCACAACAUCUUCACAUUUCACAGGCAGAUAAAGGGCCCGAUUGUGCUCAGUGUCCUCCAUGGGCAGUUCAUCAUCAAAGAAGGUGACACAAUUUACCUCGAAUAUCUUGUUUGCAAUCUUUUCCAAAUGAUUCACUAUUAUCUUGUUAGGGACGUGGGUUCAUUCAAAUCUUCAUCAGCGCCGGGUGGUGUUCAUCUGAAUGGAUUAGUAAGGAUAGUAAGGAUAUCUGAGCUGGUGUCUUCCUCAACUGCUCUAUGAUGGAGUAGUCUUGCAUUUUCAUUUUCUUCAAGAAUUCUUCUGCCUCUUCUUUCGAUACAGCUUUCUUUACUGAUUCUGGGUUAUCCUUAGAGAUCCUGCUUUUCCUCAACUCUUCAGGGGCGAAGUAUCUCCCUGACAGAGUUAAACCCCAGGCCUCACAAACUUCUUCCCUAACUUCAUUUCCUUUAUACAUCACUAUUGCUUAUUCGUACCUCCAAGGAACGACUUUGUUGUUGACGAUUGGCGGCUGGAUUACUGGUUUUACUAUGACAGGCUCUAUGCGAACACCUUCCACAACCACGACAUGUUCUCUAACUGUCCAGUGUACUAUUACUUUUGCGGGUUCCUGUUUUGGUGCAACCGUGCAUGAUGAGCUCCCUUGAACUAUGACAGGUUUGUUGCUUCUCCCUUUUGCCUCGAUCACCGACUUCUCGCUGCUCACAUUCUCAGUUGGCUUAACUUCACUGGAUUUGAUCAUCAUUAUUGUCUAUAAGGGCCUUUUGGACUCUCCCCCUUUCUCCACGAUCUCAAUCAUAUUGGUCUCCUGAUGGGCCAGCAACGGGUUUUGGUUAAUAUUGGAUGCCUCUGGGGUCUGCACUUCAAUCUGGUGGGAGUCAAUAAGUUCCUGGAUGGCAUUCUUUAAAUGCCAACACUUUUCAGUAUCACGCCCUGGUGCACCGGAACAGUACUCACAACUAACAAAAUAAUCUAGAUUCAUCGGGGAAGGAUUUGGCAAUUUUUCUUUGAUUGUUCUCAACAUAUCCAAUUGUCGCAGCAUGUGGAAUAGAAUAGUGUAAGAUUCUCCCAAUGGAGUGACAGUCUUCAUUUUCUGUACCUUUUCAUUUCUCAAGACUGGAUUGGCUCAGAAGGCGGGUUUCGGGGGUUGUUGGUAGGCUUUUGGAGGUGGAUAUGGGUAGUGAUUUUGUGGAGUUGGGUAGGUAUUGUUGCGGUGAACUCUAUAGAGGGUGUGGGUAUGUUUGGUGGUGAGGACAAGGUUGGGUGUAAUGAGAUGGAGCCCGAGGCUUGAACCAAGUUCCCGACUCCACUGUUGCUACUUCCUCCUUCUUCUUCUUUCCAAAUGUUACCCCAGCUCCGCCCUGGAUGGCCUGAGUUGUUGCCUUGAUUACAGAGUAGCUCAUUAUCUUAUUGGAUUUGAGGCCUUCCUCGACCAUACUUUUCAUCGUAACUAAUUCAUUGAAAGAUUUACCUACUGCUGAUACCAAAUGCCUGAAAUAGGUAUGUUCUAGAGCCUGUAGAAAAUAGUCAACCAUCUCACUCUCCUUCAUGGGAGGAUCAACUCUGGCUGCCUGUUCUCUCCACUGGAAACCAUAUUACCUAAAGCUCUCGUUGUGUUUCUUCUCUAGUUUUUUCAGAGAUAGACGAUCAGGUACAAUUUCGAGAUUAUAUUGAAAGUGACAAGCAAACACUUGUGCCAGGUCAUCCCAAGUAUACCCCUGAUUGUGGUCCUACCGGGUGUACCACUCCAAUGCCGACCCGCACAAACUCUAGCUAAAGUAUGCCACUAGCAAUUUAUAUUUUCCCCCUGCUCCCCUUAUUUUGUUGCAAAGCCCCUUAGAUGCGAGAACAGAUCGCUGUGUCCAUCAUAUAAGUCAAAUUUAGGCAUCUCGAAACUGGGAGGCAACUGCACGUCUGGAAAUAGACAAAAGUCCUUGAACGCCACGUUCACCUGGCCACCUAACCCUGCAUGUCCCUGAAUGAUUGUUCUAAACUUCUCACCUUUCUAAGCACCUCCUCCUUCUCAGGAUUUUUGAUUGGCUUUUCAACUCCCACCGGGAUUUUGAGACGGGGAGCAUAGGAGUAAGGCUCAUGGGCUUUGUAAGCAUGUUCUGGUGGAUAGUAUUGGUGGUCAUAAGCUUGAAGCAAGGGUUCACUUGACGAUCUAUGGAGUGCGGGAGGAGGAGGCGCGACAUAGAUGGGAGCAAUUGGCAGAGGGGGGUGAGGAGCAACUUUGGGUAGUGGAGCUGGUGGUGGUUGAGAGGUCGUACCCUGGUGCUGCGAGUAGAUAGGGAAACUUGAGGGUGGAUCAAUGGUGGACUGGUUAGGAGCUUGGACCAGUGGCGGGAUGAAGGAUGGAUUAACAAGAUAGGUUGGGGGUGGUUGUCCUCUUGCUUAUGCCUGGUACAUCUCAGCCAUUUGGUGCUUUAGUUUGUACAUUUCCCCUUCAUGGAGUUAACAUCCAAUUCCUCCGCUUCUUUCGAGGGGUCAAUAAUGGUGACAUCGGUUUCCUGAUUGGCCAUGACUUGCUUGCUCUUAGACCACGUGUUGUAGGAGUGGGUUGCCAAAAUGGCGCAAGUACUAACCACCUGUCUAGUCUGGAACUACAAAACACCAAAAACUUGUUAAUAGUUAGGUUCUAACACGCAAGCGGCCACAUAUUGGGUGUGAAUGCACCUAAAUAAUGAUUGGUCCCUACAUGCAUCAGUUGCUUGUGUCAUCCCGUCUUUCAUUUUCUUUGUUUGCAUGGCCUCCCUCUUUUGACUUUAUUAUCUCCCUCUCCUAUUUUCUUUUCUUGUUUGUUUCCUUGCAUUUCCUCUGCUUUCCUCUCCUAUUUUUCCUUUCGUUUCUUUUCUUUUUUCCUUUUUCUUUAUUCGGUUAUGGUUGAAUCCUAUGUAGAUUGCCUACGUAUCAUGACCCCGCAUGAAUCUGACCGAGGAUAGUUCUUACCAAAUAAAAUGUGAAGCAUAAAAUAUUUUGGAAUUUUCAAUUUUCAUAAUAAUAAACUCAGUUACAAAGACGCGAAAUAUUGAGCGUAGUUCUGGCAAAUAACAAGUGAAGCAUAAAAUAUUUUGGAAUUUUCCAUUUUCAUAAUAACAAAAUUUAGUUACAGGGACUCGAAAAACUGACAGAUUUAAAUAAGAAACUAACAAAUUCUUAUGAAAGAUGAACUACAGACUCGAAGAACAGCUAACCUUACGCAAAAGAAAAUAAAGACUCCAAGACAAACUAACAGACUUUAAGGAAAAUAUAAUCUCAAGAAAUCACGAAUACAUCAGGGCUUCAAUUGCUCCUUAGACCCGCGAGGCAUCGUUCGGUCUUGCUGCAGACCUGCGUGCUAAAUUCUCUUGGAGGUGAUGGAGGUCUUCCAUUACUUGACGAACAAAGGUCAUGGCAGUGGCAAAUAACAUGGAUCUUGUCAUAUCCUCGCAGUGGCUACACUCUGUGGUGAUGUAGUCUGCUAUCAUCCGUACUCUCUCCUUUAUAACACCUUUUUCUUGCAAUAGCCGCCCAAUUUGCUCGGCCCUUGCCUCUAGAGUUGGCUCGGCUACCUGGUUCAGUUCUUGGAGUUGCAGCAAAUCCAUCUCCAACCGUGCUAUUGAUGCACAACAAUGUUCUCUCUCAGCUUUGAAGUCCCUGGCUUGCUUGGCCACUUUGUUCUCAUCCAUGAUGACCUUCCUUUUUAAUCCAGCAACCUCGUCGUCAUUCCUUUCCUUUAGUUGCUCAAUGAUGCGAGCUCGUUCCUCCGCAUUUUUAGCCAAUUUUUUUCGAGUCCUGGAUCCCACCUUUUGCUUUAUUCAAGUCAAACCUAUACUCGGUUACUUUUCGCCUUAAAUUGUCUAUGAGCUUUUCAUCAUUCGCGCUCUUGGGGGAUUUUCCGCGGCUGUUUUCAUUUUCUGGAUUUGGGCUCGCAACGCUUCAUUUUCUCUGGUUAAUCUUUUCUUUUUCCCAUCAUCUGCAGCAACUUGCAAACCAUUUUCAAAUUGCAGGUCUUUGACUUGUUUUUCCAAUUUUCCUAUCAUUGCCAUGUACUUAUUUUCCUUGGCUAGCCAGUUCCAUUGCUCUUGUGACGUUUCAGCAAAUUCUUGGAGGUGUGGCCUCUUAGCCGGUCUUCCGAACUCUAUUUCUUUCUUAUACCAAGAAAUGUACCCUGGUGCAACCUCGACUUUAGAUAUGUCGCAUACUCUAGUGCUCGCCAUCAAAUAUUGACAUUCGCUCCAAAUUUGACUGACAACAGCUUCGGGAAUUUGACCAUUGGGACUAAUCUCCAACCACGUGGCGACUAAUAUCCUCGUCCCAUGAAAUCAUUUGGCACCUCCCUAAUUGUCUUAGCACUCUGUAUGGAGCAUUGGGUUGGAUACUUCGGAGAACCGUCAGAAUGAAAUGAGGCCCGAUGGCUGGCAUAUACACGAUUUCAUCCACGGGGAGCCACUCGAACGUCCACUCUAUUUGGUUUGCAGUGAUAGACCGGAGACGCGACAACCACUUUGUAGCACCCUCAGGUAACCUAAACCCAUCAACCCUGCUAUAGAGUUCUUCUAUGCAGCUCUUUGUUGGCGACCAAUAAUUCAUGAACUGAGGCUGAUGGCAUUAAGGUUCGAUCAUCUAUAUUUGUAACAUUAUGUUACAUCCUUCGAAGAAAUCUCCCCUUGCUUUAAAGGCAGUAAGAGUUCGGAAGA
This 38031-nucleotide long non-coding RNA is filed under the name Nicotiana benthamiana. RNAcentral's name for it is "long non-coding RNA (NBEN_LNC037010)". Lineage: Eukaryota; Viridiplantae; Streptophyta; Magnoliopsida; Solanales; Solanaceae. The record is from RNAcentral.